UACGUAGGGGGCAAGCGUUGUCCGGAAUUAUUGGGCGUAAAGAGCGUGUAGGCGGUCCGGUAAGUCAGCUGUGAAAGUCAAGGGCUCAACCCUUGAAAGCCGGUUGAUACUGUCGGGCUAGAGUCCGGAAGAGGCGAGUAAUUCCCGGUGUAGCGGUGAAAUGCGCAGAUAUCGGGAGGAACACCAAUGGCGAAGGCAGCUCGCUGGGACGGUACUGACGCUGAGACGCGAAAGCGUGGGGAGCAAACAGG
Molecule: ribosomal RNA, 251 nt
Filed under: uncultured bacterium
Lineage: Bacteria
Description: partial 16S ribosomal RNA
Rfam family: Bacterial small subunit ribosomal RNA
Source: RNAcentral